CGCAAUGUGCGGAUCUUAACCUAGUUAUUUUAGUAUUUUUAGUAGUCUGAGUAUGCCUUAACUAUUUUAGAUAAUUACUUUUGACUAUUUGUAUAUGUUUUCAAAUAUGUUGGACAACUUAAACUAUCAUAUAUAUUAUGGAUGUUUUAUAUAUAUUAAAUCUAGAAAAAACUUAAUAUAUAUAUAUAUAUAUAUAAAUCUAUUUCGAAUAUAUUCGGGUACCCAAAUAUUUCGGUUCAGAUCGAUUUCG
Molecule: long non-coding RNA, 250 nt
Filed under: Brassica rapa (field mustard)
Lineage: Eukaryota; Viridiplantae; Streptophyta; Magnoliopsida; Brassicales; Brassicaceae
Description: long non-coding RNA (BRAP_LNC005110)
Source: RNAcentral